Long non-coding RNA from Antechinus flavipes (yellow-footed antechinus), 1366 nucleotides. RefSeq lists it as uncharacterized. The record is from RefSeq and is a predicted model, not a curated record. Lineage: Eukaryota; Metazoa; Chordata; Mammalia; Dasyuromorphia; Dasyuridae. The transcript is spliced from 3 exons.
CAGAACAACUUCUCUUUGGCUUGGACCCAUACAGGGAGAGCAGAAAAACUCCUUAUGGGAAAGUCUGGGGUUGUCUGGAGUCUAGGGAGGAAAAUGAAGGCUCUUUACUGAGGAUAACUGCCUCCAACCCCUCUGUACUGGAAAGGACCAAUGCUAGUGAUUCCUUGCCCAGUCAUUCUCUCUGUCUCUUUGACCAUAACUCCAUGAGGACCCCGGUGCCAUCAUUAUCGCCCUGUUUUGUAGCAUAGAGCCGAGAAGGGUCCCCGCCAAAGAGCAUGUAAGAAACUGGGCCAGGCUUGGAACUCAAGUCCCCUGACUACUGAACCAGGACUCUUUCCUCCUCAUAACUCCAGAAACAAGGACCUUGAGUUGAAGGUUGUGUGGAGAUUGUGUUGGCCACGAACCUUCCAUAUGAGGAUUCUGAGGCUGGUGUUGGGGGCAAGAUUCAAACUCCAAGUCUGGGCUCUCCCAGCGACUCCCCCAGCUCAAGACAAGCUUAUGGCAGAGUGGAGAUGAGGAACAAGAGCAUAUCACAUAGUCUCCUCCCUCCCACAGCCCUGAUCUUGGUAUCCUCUCUCCCACGGCCCCGAGGGGGCUUAUGAUCUCACAAGACACCUACAUGGCCACCUGGGUGGUCCAUCUCUGAUACCUUACCUUAGUCAACAAGAGAGCUGACAGAAGAAGCAGACCUUCCCCCACUAAGCCAGGAGAAUUCCGGCAACUGGCUCCAGUGGAAGAGUUUUGUUAGAACCCCCCAAAGCAGGAGGCCGGAACCGGGCAAGAGAAAAUUUCCGAUACUGUUUAUCCAACGAUUAGGCUUCUCCUUGAUUUAUUUACAUCGAACAUUUUGGUAACCAUCUGCUCUUAAACUAAACGGAAAAUUAUCCUCCUCCUGCUGUGACGGCAUUUCCCUUGGAUGUUUUUAAUAAAAAAAAUCUAUCAUUUUAAUGUAGACAGCUCAGCUAAUAAAAAUGAUCUGUGCCAUUAGUAAUUAUCCCACAAAUACAAUGCAAACAAGCUGAAGGGUCCUUGGAAGCCUGGGCCCAGGGUCCCUACUACUGGAUAUGGGACAAGACUGGGGCUGGGGGGUCUGAUUUCUUUCUCUUGACUGGGGACGGGAGAGGAAAAGGUCCCUGAGAAUCACAGGGGAAGGAUCCAGGUGUGUCAGGUCCAGCUCUUGAAUCGGUGGUGAAUUCCUUGGAAAUAUACUUAUUAUGGGAACUCUAGGAUGGGGUGGAAACUUGCAGGAUCAUGGAAUCUAAGCUGGAAGAAACUUUUAGAGAUCAUCUUGGUUGUCAACCUGGGGCCCCCAGGUAGAUGUCAGAGGGUCUUUGAAUUUGGAUGGGGAAAAAAUGUGCAUUUUUAU